Molecule: long non-coding RNA, 1071 nt
Filed under: Rhinopithecus bieti (black snub-nosed monkey)
Lineage: Eukaryota; Metazoa; Chordata; Mammalia; Primates; Cercopithecidae
Description: lncRNA (ENSRBIG00000046614.1)
Source: RNAcentral
UCUUUCCUCUUAACCCCCUAGCUCAGGACCUGGUAAAUACAGCAAAUGGGGAGUGAGUUUCUCAAGUGCCUGGCUGUGUCCGCCCCUUGCCUGCCCCGAGAUGCGGUGGUGGAACAGCAAGAGGAGCCUUGCCAGCCUGCAGGACUCAGGUGCUGCUAAGCCCUCCAGUUACCACGACUACAGCACUUUCCAAAGGCAUGUAGUAAUGGUGGGAGAACUAAAUGACCCUGAAAAUUCUGGAAAUGAGGAGAAACAGACUAAAGCCAUAGGCAGCAGAUGAAUGAAGAGAGAGAAGAGUGCUUUAGAACGCCUCCAUCACCACCUGUUGCACUGUCCUGAUGCUUGUGCUCCCCUUCAAGAGGCAGAUGGAACAAAUCUGGGAUGGCUGGCUCACUGUGAGUGUCUCCCAUGUCCCUGUGUCACAGACACAGGGUGUCAUAGUCACCCUGAAUGUCCACCAGUUAAUGUUUUCUUUGUGGCCCUGUUCACUGAUUUUGGAUCAGGCUAAUCUUUCCUCAGUGUCCUCCUCUCCCCUAAUUUGUGAGUCUGAGCUGAAAUCCCACUGACAUGAGGGCAAUAGAACAGCAGAAUCUGUGUCUGCAAGGUACAAAUUAGCGUGGGCUCUGGCUCUGAUGGGGUGGGAGGAAGAAAAUGCUUAGCAUUAACACAACAGCACUGGGCUCCAAACCUACAUUGAAUCUUUUUCUCUCUAAGGUCUUUGUGUUCAUUUAGAUGUUCCUUGAGCUGUCAGACAAAUAACUGUAUGCACUGCAGUGGGGCGGGAAAAUCUAUUCUCGGGUUCCAAACUUCCUUUCCCCUCCUUCAGUAGGUGGCCUGCUGUGCACUGGUGACCACCCUAGUUGCCUUGGCAAACCUGGCUGGCAUGGUGCUGACCGUCACCAUUCAGAGGGACUGGAUCGUGAGCUGACGGGUGACAACAUAGGCCAGCUGGUUGGUGAGUGGUACCGCCCUGGGUACUGAUCCUCUGAUCAGCUGGGAAGCAGAGAGCUGACAAGGCAAUCAGGGCUCUGAGAGAGGCUGACAACAGGCUUUAAGAACAUGUUAUUUGGA